Molecule: ribosomal RNA, 1237 nt
Filed under: Escherichia coli
Lineage: Bacteria; Pseudomonadati; Pseudomonadota; Gammaproteobacteria; Enterobacterales; Enterobacteriaceae
Description: partial 23S ribosomal RNA
Rfam family: Bacterial large subunit ribosomal RNA
Source: RNAcentral
GGGUUGUGAGGUUAAGCGACUAAGCGUACACGGUGGAUGCCCUGGCAGUCAGAGGCGAUGAAGGACGUGCUAAUCUGCGAUAAGCGUCGGUAAGGUGAUAUGAACCGUUAUAACCGGCGAUUUCCGAAUGGGGAAACCCAGUGUGUUUCGACACACUAUCAUUAACUGAAUCCAUAGGUUAAUGAGGCGAACCGGGGGAACUGAAACAUCUAAGUACCCCGAGGAAAAGAAAUCAACCGAGAUUCCCCCAGUAGCGGCGAGCGAACGGGGAGGAGCCCAGAGCCUGAAUCAGUGUGUGUGUUAGUGGAAGCGUAUGGAAAGGCGCGCGAUACAGGGUGACAGCCCCGUACACAAAAAUGCACAUGCUGUGAGCUCGAUGAGUAGGGCGGGACACGUGGUAUCCUGUCUGAAUAUGGGGGGACCAUCCUCCAAGGCUAAAUACUCCUGACUGACCGAUAGUGAACCAGUACCGUGAGGGAAAGGCGAAAAGAACCCCGGCGAGGGGAGUGAAAAAGAACCUGAAACCGUGUACGUACAAGCAGUGGGAGCAUGCUUAGGCGUGUGACUGCGUACCUUUUGUAUAAUGGGUCAGCGACUUAUAUUCUGUAGCAAGGUUAACCGAAUAGGGGAGCCGAAGGGAAACCGAGUCUUAACUGGGCGUUAAGUUGCAGGGUAUAGACCCGAAACCCGGUGAUCUAGCCAUGGGCAGGUUGAAGGUUGGGUAACACUAACUGGAGGACCGAACCGACUAAUGUUGAAAAAUUAGCGGAUGACUUGUGGCUGGGGGUGAAAGGCCAAUCAAACCGGGAGAUAGCUGGUUCUCCCCGAAAGCUAUUUAGGUAGCGCCUCGUGAACUCAUCUCCGGGGGUAGAGCACUGUUUCGGCAAGGGGGUCAUCCCGACUUACCAACCCGAUGCAAACUGCGAAUACCGGAGAAUGUUAUCACGGGAGACACACGGCGGGUGCUAACGUCCGUCGUGAAGAGGGAAACAACCCAGACCGCCAGCUAAGGUCCCAAAGUCAUGGUUAAGUGGGAAACGAUGUGGGAAGGCCCAGACAGCCAGGAUGUUGGCUUAGAAGCAGCCAUCAUUUAAAGAAAGCGUAAUAGCUCACUGGUCGAGUCGGCCUGCGCGGAAGAUGUAACGGGGCUAAACCAUGCACCGAAGCUGCGGCAGCGACGCUUAUGCGUUGUUGGGUAGGGGAGCGUUCUGUAAGCCUGUGAAGGUGUACUGUGAGG